RNAcentral lists this ribosomal RNA (966 nucleotides) under Salmonella enterica subsp. enterica serovar Infantis. Its description in RNAcentral is "partial 23S ribosomal RNA". It matches the Rfam family "Bacterial large subunit ribosomal RNA", at positions 99 to 1004 of the family's 2925-position model. The record is from RNAcentral. Lineage: Bacteria; Pseudomonadati; Pseudomonadota; Gammaproteobacteria; Enterobacterales; Enterobacteriaceae.
UAUAACCGGCGAUUUCCGAAUGGGGAAACCCAGUGUGACUCGUCACACUAUCAUUAACUGAAUCCAUAGGUUAAUGAGGCGAACCGGGGGAACUGAAACAUCUAAGUACCCCGAGGAAAAGAAAUCAACCGAGAUUCCCCCAGUAGCGGCGAGCGAACGGGGAGGAGCCCAGAGCCUGAAUCAGCAUGUGUGUUAGUGGAAGCGUCUGGAAAGGCGCGCGAUACAGGGUGACAGCCCCGUACACAAAAGCGCAUGUGCUGUGAGCUCGAUGAGUAGGGCGGGACACGUGGUAUCCUGUCUGAAUAUGGGGGGACCAUCCUCCAAGGCUAAAUACUCCUGACUGACCGAUAGUGAACCAGUACCGUGAGGGAAAGGCGAAAAGAACCCCGGCGAGGGGAGUGAAAAAGAACCUGAAACCGUGUACGUACAAGCAGUGGGAGCCCCACCACCAAAGCAUUCUCUGGUGUUGAAGGCCCUGCAAAGCAGCAUCGCGGUGGCGGAGCGUCGUUUGCGACGCCCAACACACAAAACAAGCGGUGAGUGCUUUGGGGUGGGGUGACUGCGUACCUUUUGUAUAAUGGGUCAGCGACUUAUAUUCUGUAGCAAGGUUAACCGAAUAGGGGAGCCGGAGGGAAACCGAGUCUUAAUUGGGCGUUAAGUUGCAGGGUAUAGACCCGAAACCCGGUGAUCUAGCCAUGGGCAGGUUGAAGGUUGGGUAACACUAACUGGAGGACCGAACCGACUAAUGUUGAAAAAUUAGCGGAUGACCUGUGGCUGGGGGUGAAAGGCCAAUCAAACCGGGAGAUAGCUGGUUCUCCCCGAAAGCUAUUUAGGUAGCGCCUCGUGAAUUCAUCUCCGGGGGUAGAGCACUGUUUCGGCUAGGGGGCCAUCCCGGCUUACCAACCCGAUGCAAACUGCGAAUACCGGAGAAUGUUAUCACGGGAGACACACGGCGGGUGCUAACGU